UAACCCCCGUUGAGAAACUAAGCAUAUCAAUAAGCGGAGGAAAAGAAACUAACAAGGAUUCCCCUAGUAACUGCGAGUGAAGCGGGAAAAGCUCAAAUUUGAAAUCUGGCGGUCCUUGGCCGUCCGAGUUGUAAUCUAGAGAAGUGUUACCCGCGCUGGACCAUGUACAAGUCUCCUGGAAUGGAGCGUCAUAGAGGGUGAGAAUCCCGUCUCUGACAUGGACUACCAGGGCUUUGUGGUAUGCUCUCAAAGAGUCGAGUUGUUUGGGAAUGCAGCUCAAAAUGGGUGGUAAAUUCCAUCUAAAGCUAAAUAUUGGCGAGAGACCGAUAGCGAACAAGUACCGUGAGGGAAAGAUGAAAAGAACUUUGGAAAUAGAGUUAAACAGUACGUGAAAUUGCUGAAAGGGAAACGCUUGAAGUCAGUCACGUUGGCCGGGGAUCAGCCUCACAAAUUGUGUGGUGUACUUUCUGGUUGAUGGGUCAGCAUCAAUUUUGACUGUUGGAAAAAGGCUUGGGGAAUGUGACAGCUCUGGCUGUGUUAUAGCCCCUUGUCAUAUACAGCAGUUGGGAUUGAGGAACUCAGCACGCCGCAAGGCCGGGUUUCGACCACGUUCGUGCUUAGGAUGCUGGCAUAAUGGCUUUAAGCGACCCGUCUUGAAACACGGACCAAGGAGUCUAACAUGCCUGCGAGUGUUUGGGUGGAAAACCCGAGCGCAUAAUGAAAGUGAAAGUUGAGAUCCCUGUCGUGGGGAGCAUCGACGCCCGGACCAGAACUUUUGGGACGGAUCCGCGGUAGAGCAUGUAUGUUGGGACCCGAAAGAUGGUGAACUAUGCCUGAAUAGGGUGAAGCCAGAGGAAACUCUGGUGGAGGCUCGUAGCGAUUCUGACGUGCAAAUCGAUCGUCAAAUUUGGGUAUAGGGGCGAAAGACUAAUCGAACCAUUCAGUUGCAC
This 950-nucleotide ribosomal RNA is filed under the name Lepiota brunneolilacea. RNAcentral describes it as "partial large subunit ribosomal RNA". It matches the Rfam family "Eukaryotic large subunit ribosomal RNA", at positions 24 to 952 of the family's 3401-position model. Lineage: Eukaryota; Fungi; Basidiomycota; Agaricomycetes; Agaricales; Agaricaceae. The record is from RNAcentral.